This 327-nucleotide long non-coding RNA is filed under the name Setaria viridis. RNAcentral describes it as "long non-coding RNA (SVIR_LNC002771)". Lineage: Eukaryota; Viridiplantae; Streptophyta; Magnoliopsida; Poales; Poaceae. The record is from RNAcentral.
GGAUGAAACCCUAGGGCGCCCCACCCCUCUAUUUAUAGAGGUUCCUGAUGGGCCUCUGGUUCCAAGGCCCAUUAGUACUUCUAAUCCUGAUCCAACUUAGAUCAUAUCCGAAUUGGGCUUCCAGCCCCUUAAAUGUGUGACCCUAUGGGUUCGGAUACGUAUAGACAUGGCCCGAGUACUCCUACUCAGCCCAAUAGUUGGUAGCGGCCUCUAACAAGACGUGCCAACUCCUAUACGCACACGAAGAUCAUAUCAGACGAACCGUCACAACAUCAUGUGCAUGCUAUUCCCUUUGCCUCACGAUAUUUGGUCUAUCUUCAAGCCGAC